Molecule: ribosomal RNA, 404 nt
Filed under: uncultured bacterium
Lineage: Bacteria
Description: bacterial SSU rRNA
Rfam family: Bacterial small subunit ribosomal RNA
Source: RNAcentral
AACGAACGCUGGCGGCGUGCCUAACACAUGCAAGUCGUGCGAGAAAGUUCCUUCGGGAGCGAGUAAAGCGGCGCACGGGUGAGUAACACGUAGGUAACCUGCCCCCCAGUCUGGAACAACUAGAGGAAACUCUAGCUAAUGCCGGAUGAGGCCACGAUCCCUUCGGGGGUUGCGGCCAAAGAUGGCCUCUACUUGUAAGCUAUCGCUGAGGGAUGGGCCUGCGGGCCAUUAGCUUGUUGGUGAGGUAACGGCUCACCAAGGCUGUGAUGGCUAGCUGGUCUGAGAGGAUGACCAGCCACACUGGGACUGAGACACGGCCCAGACUCCUACGGGAGGCAGCAGUGGGGAAUAUUGCGCAAUGGGCGAAAGCCUGACGCAGCGACGCCGCGUGGGUGAUGAAGGCC